UACGAAGGGAGCUAGCGUUACUCGGAAUCACUGGGCGUAAAGCGUAUGUAGGCGGAACUACAAGUCAGAGGUGAAAUCCCAGGGCUCAACCCUGGAAUUGCCUUUGAAACUGUAGUUCUUGAGUAUGGUAGAGGAUGGUGGAAUUUCCAGUGUAGAGGUGAAAUUCGUAGAUAUUGGAAAGAACACCGGUGGCGAAGGCGGCCAUCUGGGCCAUUACUGACGCUGAGAUACGAAAGCGUGGGGAGCAAACGGG
This 253-nucleotide ribosomal RNA is filed under the name uncultured bacterium. Its description in RNAcentral is "partial 16S ribosomal RNA". It matches the Rfam family "Bacterial small subunit ribosomal RNA", at positions 524 to 776 of the family's 1533-position model. The record is from RNAcentral.